UAUUUUUGUUGUUAUUAUAUUUGUCCAAACAAAUGUACCUUUAGUUGCACCAGGCAUUAAAAUGAACAAGAAACCGAAGAAAACAAGGGUGGUCUAACAACUUUUUCCAUGACUUUAGGGGUGAGAAGAGGCACAGAAGAAGGAGCGAAUGUGGGGGAAGGGAUGAGAAAGGGAAAACAAAGGAGGCGAAAGAAGAAAAAUAAGGCUGGGAGGUCAGUGAACCUUGGGGUGAGGGAUAACAGACGGGAGAUCCCGGUGGGAGUAGCAUGAAAUAACAUCACGCUGGGCUCUGAUUCACGGCCCAUCGGCGGCCAUGUCCAACACACGAGGACGCACUGUUUCCAAAGAGACGCACAUGCAGAGAGCUAAUGGAGUGUUAUUAAAGACAUGCAUCACACCACGUCACCUACCGACCACACACUAAGCCACACACACACAGACAUUAGUGCAGAAGCAGACGAUGUAUCAUUUAGCAAAGAGCCUGGGCGACACUGACACGCUCUGACAUCACACACUGCUCGUACCACGCGCACGGAUGACCUCGUCUUUUAUCACAACAUCCAUGACAUUUCUCAUGAGAGGACGGCCGUCUGGCUCAAUAGAAGGAGAGCGGCCUUUUGUCGCGUUAUAAAGGUCUCCAAAGCGGUUUGAUUGGCAGGUGUCAGAGGAACAAAGCUCCAGCAGCAGAGUCAGGAGGAGACCUUUAGCCCGCACUCGGCCCGACAUCAGGGGCGCCCAAGUUUCUCUCCGGGGAGCAACUUUUCUACUUUUUUCCUCCAUUUUUUCCUGAUCUGAUUUGCAUGUUAUAGACGUUGAAAUAUGUCUUCUUUUCUACCGUUUUAUCACAUUUAACUGACUGAAUUGUGAAAGAAAAUAUUUAUAUCAACAAGUGGAGUGUAAAUAAAAGUAAUCUUUAGCUGCUGCCUGACAAAGAAAAAGAGAGAUGAAGGGGUAGAAGAGAAAGAAAGCAUGACUGAUGGAAGACGAUGAUAUAUGUGUUUUCAUUUCUUCUAUAAUUCUAAUGGAUUUCAUUGCUACUCGGUUUGGUUUUUCCAGUAACCCCUUCCUUGUUUUUCUAAUAUCUUUAAUGUCACUUCCUCUGAAGAUCAUACAUUUCAUCUUUGGGUAGCACUGGUCGGUGCAUUGGUGGCAUCCUCUGCUUUAUAAUUCAUCUUUUAAAUACAUACGCUGCUCUUUUCCAGAAAUGUUUACAUGAAGUGCAGCAUCACGUUCCACAACCCGCUCAUUUAUGUGCUCUCACACGUGUGAAUCCUCCCUCCGCAUGACCCGUCGGAGAAAUACAGGAGAUGACAGGAAACAAACGAUGUGAGCGUAUUAACACAACAGUUCGCUCUCGGCCAAAGUGCCUCGCGGUGCCACAGGAACGUGGGUGGGCCCCGCCGGGAUUCAGCUCUCCGCUCGUGACCCCGCCGACUUUGUUUUAUUCCACUGUUUAUAUCCUCGCAGAGCAUUCGAAACCACCGCCGUGACUCACGCUUCUAUUGUCGAAAAAGGGACAUAAAUGGUGUGUGAACAUGAAACCCCUGGCUUCCUUACAUGGCCCUAUAAUGCACACACACACACAAAAAAAAGUCCUGCAGUUCUUUUUCUGUCUCCUGAAUCGUUCUCUGUUAUGCUGCAAUUCAAGCCUUUUGUUUAAUAAACAAUUUGUCAGUGAUGUAUCGAACGCCAGCUCUAAUUUGAUUGUCUGUGAAAUGUGUAUGGAGGUGGCUGCCUGCUCUCUCCCUCCUAUUCUGCCUCUCCUGUCUGCAGAAGCAGCAGUGAUAUCCAAGCCUUUUCUUUUCCCCUGCAGGUGUGUGUGUGUCUGCAUUGUGUGUGCACGCGUCCACGGGGACGAGGAUGAGUGUAGAGCGAUCCUUAAGGGUUUGCAAUUACAUCUAAACGGCAUAAUCAGACAUGAUGGAUGGCUGUUGCCUUCUGCACAAUGUCUAGACCCCAGAUCCAGCGGUGCAACGAGGUUACAAGAGAAUGGGAAAUGAUGAAAGAUUUAAUAGUUCUGCUCUGCUUAAGUCCCCCUUUUGGUGACCUCGGCAAUAUUUGAGCAAUUUUAUCACAGGAAUCGGCUCAUUUUGUGGCCAAAACGUGCUAAAUAACACGCAUCUCACCAGUGAUGGAUCUUCAUUCUUGAGUUUUAAGCAGAAAAUAGUGCAGGAAUUAACUUUGUGCUGCAGAGACAUAAAAUAUUGAGGUAAUAUUUGGUGCUGGGUUGGAAUGAGACAUGUUCCUGUAAGCGGUUCCUCAAUAGGUGGCACUGUGGGACCAAGAGUUCACCAGCACCUGAUUGAGGCUUAAAGAGGAACAAAGUCAGUAAAUACAGAGCAGCAUCGGCGGGGUAAAACGAGGUGUGUUGUUCUGCUCCUUAAAGUUCAGCUCUUCCUCAUUCGUGCUCUUCAGUUUAUUCCAUCCAUCAGCGCUUGCAAAUGAACGGCCUCGGAAGACGCCAAAAGGAUCAAUGUGGGAUCUGAAGAUCAGUAUCGUCGAUGAUUAUCCUACAGAAUUGAAAUAUCGGCUGACUUGUGUCCUGUGGCUGCUUAAUAACUUUUAAAUCAUCUUCAGCUGUACUCCACAUUCCAGUGAAGACUGUCGUGGUUUCUUUUGGAUGUGCCGAGGUUGAAUAACAUGUCCGGUGACACUGUUGCUUUUCAUGACAUAAUUUCAUGAUCAGGAAGAACAGCAUCGGUCAGACAGAGACUGUCUGGAAGGAAUCAAUCAAAUGAACCUUUCCGAACAACAACCGGAGGUCCCUUUUAUACGCUUUGGACAAGAAGGUCAAGUAUGAGGUCACCACAAAUAGUUUCUGCUCAAAGACCAAAAUAGGAAACAGAGGGCCCCUUCAAUCAUCCUCCUAGACUCAGAGGCCCCUAAGAGCCCCAUCGGUCAACCACCUGAAGAUUGGGACCCUUAUUUGGACACAACCUUAAACCCUUCUGAACAGUCAGGAGCAAACAUUCCAUUCUAAACAGUUGAAAGCAGGUGAAGCGGAUGCCAUUCUACUAAAUACAGUAAGCAACACAUGUCUCAGAUCAGAUACUACGAGACCAAACAUGUUUGUUCAUCCACGUGUUAAAGAUUUUUUUUCAAUUUAAAAUCAGCGCUCCCUUUGAUUCUCUUUGGCCUGCCAGUCAGUACAAAAGAGUUCCAUUAAUAAUAAGUGGAACAUUUUGUUCUAUUUUGUCUUUUCUCCAUUUUAAACUACUAACUGGACCCAGUGCAGCACUCCCCAGUUUUUUUGACAAAUGAAAUAAACUCAAAAUACAAAUAUAACGAGGUGGAGAGAGAGUCUGUAACCAGAACUGCACUGUAUGUGUGUCAAUCAGAAAAUAACUAUAUUUUUAAGAUAAAUACAUGUGGUUUAAGAUCAGAUAAGAUAAGAUAAGAUAGACUAUUGAUCUCACAAAGGAGAAAUUUACUGUUACAGAGCUCUUAGGAUCAAACAGGGGUGCAAAAAAGUCACGAAAGGUGCAAGUACAAGAUAACUCUUAUAUACAUUGUUAUAAGAUAGAAAACUUUUCCUAUAUACAUUGUUAUAAAAUAAGAUAUACCACAUAAUAACAACUACACAGUAGUGUUAUACAGUCUGAUGAUUAUUUGCAUAAUAUCAACAUUUCAUAUUUUAAAUACUGCGAUUAUCAUCAAAACUGGCAUAUUGUGAUACGUCUAUCGCAUUUCUGAUCAUCACAGUGAUUAAGAUUCAUUUUCUUACUCUCUGUAUUUGUGCCAAUAUCAACACAAUUUCACUGAAUCCAUCUAAUAGCUGUUGAGAUGCGUCAUCACACUGAUAUUCUCCUUUUCUUGCGGUCAUUUUGACUUGUACAGCUGGUUUCACAAACUUGCCAAACUGAGUCUUUUCUGUGCUAUCUUGCAGAAAUUAAAAUAAAACGUAUAUUUUUGAAUCCCCGCCGCAGGUAUUUAGUAUCUUGCUACAGAAGAUUUAAACGGGGCAUAUUCCUGCUCAGGGCUCCGGCUAAGAAACACUGCAGCCUCGACUGUAAGAGCUGAUCUUUAUGAUUGCUGUGAUCAAGAAGAACCUCGGGGAAUUCAGAAUGAGUGCAUACAUUACUGCACUUUAUUCAAAACCUCCAGGAGCCGGCGAUGAGUGCAUACAUUAAUAUAUUUUAUUUUAAUGACAUGUAAUUUGUUGCACACACUAGCUCUGGAUAAUUUUCCCUUCCGUGAUACUAAAAACCAGUUUAAGGUAAUUAGGAGAGAUUGUUUUUAAUGGAAGAUAAACGGCGUACUGCAGGCUGCUUCUGAAUCAAUACCAUGCUACAGUUUGAAACGGCGCUGCAUCAUUUGCUGAAAUUACCACCAUUGAUUGGUCGCUAUCAGUCAUUUUAAUUUAAUUUUAAAUGACUGUAAGGAAAGAUGGAAAUCUGACUGGGACAUUUUUGGUUUGACGGCAUAUUGCUUUUCUACCAAAGGAUAUUGGAGCGGAGCUACGGAAAAUGAAUUUCCCCCCUGAAGCAACGCUGAAUAAAACCCGAGUAAUGAGCAGGCUUCAGUUUUGGUUUAUUCGCUGUAAUGUAAUGACAAUAUGGUUUGUUUUCCCGUUUUCUCUUUGAAGUCCUGUCAAGAUUGAUUUGCAGUCAAAGGUGUUAAAAACUGCCUUAAUUAACAGAUGAGUCCGCUCAGUCGAACAGUUUCUGCAAAAAGCUUGUUAUCUGUCAAAAGUUCCGCCAUCCGGGCUAAAAAACUGAGAGUGGGCUGGUCGGGUAUGAGGUCAAACGCUCGAGUCAAACGCUGUGCUAAUGAGCUUGAAUCAUGCCAUUGGCCACCCACGCGCUGUUGACUCUCAAGCGCUUAUUGAUUUUUUUUGGCUCAGACAAGCUGUUCCUCCUCUGCCCACUCGGUGACCUUCCAUACUCAUCUCCUUCUUGAUCCCUUCUCUUAUCUUUUAAUGUUUUCACUGACCUUUUCCUUUUCUCUGUUUCAACUCUAGACUUUCUCGAACAUGACAGGUCUUUGAUUUCUCUCUCUAUCGCUCCCUUUCCCUGGAGUUAGAGAGGAUAUCAGAUAAGGAAAAAGCUGCUGAUUCAGGCUUUGGCGUCAACAGGGUGUCGAGUCCAGGAUCACCUGGAGGGCGGCUGGUUUUACCGCAGAGCUGCAGAAGCAAUCAAGCAGAGCACUGAGUGUUCCACCAACACUCCUGAACUCUGAUCUCUAAUGAAAUGUGGGCGACUAUGUGUCCCUUAGGGUUAUCCGAUGGACAUUACCAACACCACCAAAGAGACUGCAAAGACAGAAUCACCCCUGAUGUGCAGUUAGCUGACGCUGUAGCUUUAACUUAUUUAGUUUGAACAUUAAACAUAGAAGGGUUUAUAGAAGCAAGUUGUGCCUUGUUUCAAAAUUUAGGGAAAUUCCUGUAAUUUCACAUGAUGUCUUUUAUUUUUUGAUACCACCUAUCCCACAUGCUGAUGUUGACCUUUGAAUCCGAAGGUCGGACAGAUAUUUUUGAUUUUUAGCUGUUCAUAUUUCAUCCAUUACAUACCAUAGCAUUUUCGUUUUAUACAUAUCCAAUCCUUAGAUAGCCAAAUUAUACCACAUAAAAUCUCUAAUGGAUAUGAUGAUUAGUUUUUGUGUAAUGGGCGGCCAAAUGUAGCAGUUUAGAAGUUCGUGAUGGAUAAAAUCGCAACUUUGUCAUUCUCUGUAACAUGCAAUUAUAAAUAUAAAGUAAAUAUUUUCACAUUUCUGAGGACUAUAGGUCACGGUGAAAUGAUUCUGAAAAUUUCAGAUCUCUAUCUUUUGUUGUUCAGAAGUUAUAGAAGUCUGAAAAUGGUCGAAAAUUUCAAGUCUUAAAUUUUUCAAGCUGCAAUUUUUGGGUACCCCCUACCUACUUCAAAUGGCCAUAACUUUGAAACUAAUGACAAUAAAGCAUUCAAAUUUUGGAUUUUCCCAUCAUAUAUAAUGUACUAAAUGUAUGUAAAAACUUAGCAAAAUCUGAGAGGGUCAGGUGGGGACCACUGGUUGAAAUGUUAUGGAGUGACCCUUAAACAGACAAGUAGUUGGUUGUAGCUAAAUGGCUCUUUACUAGUAUUUUCUACUUUUGAGGCACUUUUUUUUGCUCUAAAUCUCAUAUAGUGUCAUUCAACUGACCUGGUAGUAACUGAAUUCAGCAAACAAGUAUCUAGAAGCAUGGAGUUAGCUGAAGUUUCCCAUACGUCGCAAACACUGCUUAAACUUCUAGUAUAUAACUUUAUCAACUCACCUAUAUCAUAAUGCCCGCUGUCACUGGGCCUCACGGCUGUGUGUGUGGGAUGAGUGUUGUGGUGACAGCCUGAUUUACAGGCCACUGGUGUGUUUAAUGGAGCCGAUGAAGCAGUGAUCGCUCAUCCAAUGCCUUUUUCUCUCCUUCCACCCCUCCUGCCAGCCAUCUCUCAACACACAAACAACAUCUAUGUGAUGCAAGAAGGUGGUCACACAUAUACCCCGAAGUCCGCCCACGCUCACACCAAAUCCUGCUUCAUAGGGGAAUAAUCCAAUGACAGCCAAUUUGCUGCAGGGAUAUACUUAAAAAAAAAAAGAUUUCAUUCUUUAUUUACCCAUCGCUUGUGCUUUUACAAGGCAAUUUGUUAGGUGGCCAGCUGGAGGAGGGAAGCAUUAACCUAGACUUCCAUUACCAUGCCCACCCCUCUGCAUCCCCUCAUCCUUUUAAGAUUAAGCCGCUCUCUCCACCUAAAAAAAAAAAAAAAAAAAAAAAAGAGGGUCCUGUGUAAUCAUGAAAGUGUCACAUUUCAGCUGAGAAAGGAGGAAUCGGUGGCUUCGGGGGUCACUCUAAAAUUCUCCACUCUCGCUUCUAUUCUUUUUCCCUUUCUCUCCCUACCUCUCACAUCCACCCACACUCUCUCUUUCUCCCUCUCCCUCCCUUGCCGCCAUUGCUCUUUAUUUAUUUAUUUCCACCUGUAUCGCCGCUCUUUGCUCUUGUUACGCUUUCCUCUUUCUCUUGAUUUUGUCCUCACUUUCCAUCUUCUCCUCCAGUUCCUCUCCAGUCUUGUUAUGCUUCCAUCUCUCUCCCUCUCCCCUCCCUUCUUCUUCUUUCUCUGACAGUGGUUCAAUAAGCAGUGCCUCCAGAGUGGUCUUGCUCAGUCAGUGGCCAAUUACCCAGUCACACUGCCUGUCCUCUGGGACGGACAGGAUUAGCAGGAUCUGUCGUCCCACCAGACACACACACUCUCACACACACUCUGCCUUGGACACCUGUCACUUAGACAUGGACAGACAACCUGUGGGUUCCUUUUUUUGUCUGUGGAAAUAAAAAAAGAAGGAAGAAGAAGCUCAGGCUCCUCCAUCUUUUCCCCCAACGGGCAAUUUGACAGGCCAGUGAAGAGAGGCACAGCAGAGGAGGAAAUAUAUGCUGUAUCAAAUGCAUAAAAGUGCAGUACAAGCUCCAGUGGUGCAGGUGGUCAGUGUGUGGAAACCAGCAGAGCAGCACUGAGGGAUCAGACCUCACCUGGAGCAGGGUUUCGCUUAAGGGCAGCUAGCUCAGGGGCAACUUGGAUUUGCAACCCGAUGACCAGAGCAGUGCAGCCGGGGAAAACGCAGCAACAGGAACCUAAUGCCACUCAUUACUUCCCCCCCAAGGCUCAGCUUCUUUCUUGAUGCAAGCAGUUCACUUCUGCACAGCAUUUCCAGCCUGAUGAUGUCAGCUAUACGUUCUUGUGAAGCUGCGAGGAGUUGACCGAGGAGCUGCGAUAUUAGGCCACAAGCAAAAUUACUCUGGAUUUUUGGGGCUCGCUGCAUUUUUACAAAACAAAAUAAAAGGUACACUGAGUUGGGAUGUGUGCCCACAUAUGCUGAUGUGUUAGCAAUGCUCCACCAUUAUUACUAAAGGCUCUAAACGGCCUACUGUCAAACAGGGUUAGGGUUGGUGACUGAGUGUUUUCUAUUUGGGUCCCUCAACUUUGGAACAACCUGCCCGAGGAGAUAAGACCUGCAGAGUCAGUAGCUUCUUUUAAAUCACUUCUUAAAACCCACUUUUACAGACUUGCUUUUAAAUGAGGUUUACUUUUAGCUUUAAUUAGUUUUAGUGUUUUAUUCUGUAUUAUAUCCUGUUUAUUUUAGAUGUUCUCUCUUGUUUUAUUUUACUUUUGGCCGCCUGUUUGUUUGUUUUUUGGCGUGAUGUAAUCUCUCCAAUUCCUUUAUUCUCUUUUUUUUUUACGUUUAAUUUUCACCUUCGAUCUUGUUCUUUAAUUUUCAAACUGACUAGUUCCCUUGUUUGAGUUGCGUACUAAUCUAGAGAAGUAUUCAUUUAAUUUAUUGUCAUUUUUACUGUUUAUUUUGAAUUGACUGCUCUGACUUGUCUCCUACAUCUUGUUUGACUGUCUGUGUGUUUGCAUGUUUUAACUGUCAAAGCACUUUGUGAAUGCUGUUCUUACAGGUGCUAUAUAAAUAACGCUAUUAUUAUCAUUCUCCUUUAUCAUCUGUUUUACAUUAAUUGGACCCACAACUUACAAAAUAAUGUCAUGCUGCACUGAAGAAGAACUGAAACUAGAGAUCAAGACCAUAAAUUCACCAAGAAAAUAUUUCCUGAAGUGAUAAAUCACAGCAAAAGUAGGUUUUUUUUCUCAUAGAGUUCAAUGUAAUUAAAAAUAUUUCUUGCAUCCAGAGGAGUCGCCCCCUGCUGGAUGUUAAAAAGAAUGCAGGUUUAAAACAAUUCUGCAUUGGCCUCACUUUAUAGAUUCUGUGCAUCUUUAUAAACAGAUUUCCAUUAACAGGGCACGGAAAGUCAACCGUCAUGUCGAGGAUCAUUACUGACCAUGAAAGUUGGGACCAUUAUCUCCAAGCGCACUAGAUCAGGAGCGCACAAAUAUCAUUGUUUUCUUUGACAUUCAUAAAGUUGUGUACCAUGAAUAAAGGCUGGAUAGUCAAUGCUGUAAUUCCCUGAGACAUCUGAGCGAGAACAUUCGGUGCUAAAGACCUGAACUGUGACAAUCACAACUAGGUGGUCCAUCAUAGUAAUGUCUCACAACCCAAGUUUCUGGCUGCAUCAACACAAUCAUUGCUCCCCACACACUAGAUUUGGCUCGCUGUAACUUCUCCAUCUUCUCCAAAAUGAAGCUCAAAUUGAAAGGUUGCCAUAUUGACACAGAGGAGGACAUCCUGCUCAGACGAUGCUUUGAUAGACAACAGGACCUCCAGGUAACGUGGGCAUUAAAUCAAAGGGGACGGAAGCCAAAUGAAAUAAUGUACAGAUCUAGAGUCUUUUUGAUCAUUACUUGUAUAAAGUACACAAAAUCCACUGGCACAAGAACACCAAACAGUAUUUAUAGCAAAAGUAACUGUGAUUCUUUCUGUAUAGACACUUAUGCUUAAAAAACUGCCUGAAGAUGUACUUGCAGAUUAAAACGUUGCAUUGCCGCCACUAAUUACAUACUAGUGAAGCAGUGAUCUCGUCUUUUUCUCUUCUGGUCCAGCACUUGCAAAAAGAAACAUUUCUUGGAUGACAUUUGUUUGACUUCUUGGAAAACCAGCCGGUAAAAGCAGGGCGGAUUACCCUGUGAACCGUUCAGCAAACUGGCCUGCGUGAAGAAGACGUCAGCGACUGGAAAGCAUCCUGGAUGGAAAUCCCAAACGCACUUUGGUCGGACUCAGAAACAAUGAUUAAACUGAUUCAUGUGGAAAUCAACUUCUUCAGGAAAGCUGCGGGGAGUAUUCAACGCUGAAGGCACCACAAAUUAAACCGCUUUCUUGCCCCUUGUGAAAAAAACACCAAAGUUAUCUAAAUGAUCAGACACUAGAGGCAAAUAAAAUACAGUUUUUUGUAAGUUG
Molecule: long non-coding RNA, 9786 nt
Organism: Acanthochromis polyacanthus (spiny chromis)
Lineage: Eukaryota; Metazoa; Chordata; Actinopteri; Pomacentridae
Exons: 2
Source: RefSeq, a predicted model, not a curated record